Molecule: non-coding RNA, 795 nt
Organism: Zootermopsis nevadensis
Lineage: Eukaryota; Metazoa; Arthropoda; Insecta; Blattodea; Termopsidae
Source: RefSeq, a predicted model, not a curated record
AAAUAUUUUGACAAAGAAUAUUCAUUUUGGUACCACUGAUCCAAAAUAAGAUAUGCAUUUAUAGGAAGUGUAUUUUUUGAGGGCUGGUGUACACACAUGAUCAAUACAUUUUUAAAACAAAACAGAAUAAAUGCUUCAAAUACAAAUUUGUUGGUUGCUUCUGUUUAUCAAUAUCUGAAUGUCGUGUCCCUCUGUUUCAUUUUGACACAUGUUUAAAGUCACGAGUUGCCAACACUACUGGCUCAGCACUCAACUUUACAGGUCUCUUGUGACGAAAUGUUGGCACUCCUGUUUCAUAUUGAGGAAGUUCAGUGCUGAAAGCUCGGCCUGCAUAUUUUUGUUUUGCCAAAUUCAUUGAAGACCUUUCCAUAAAUAACACGUGUAAAUGUUAUUUCCUCUUGGUUGCAGUUCCUUAUACAACAGAUAAAAACGAUAUACAAUGUGACUGUCGCGGCCAUAAUUGAACUUCGUGAGACAGUGAGAUGGUGGCUUCCUGAAGUGGAUGUGGGGUCGUGUUCGCAGCCUCACCCAACAACACUGAGAUGCUUUAAACAGCUGAAAAUUCUAGGGGAAGGAGGUUUUGGAAAAGUUUUCAUGAUGAGGAAGAACUGCGGCGUGGAUAAAGAUAAGGUAUAUGCGAUGAAAGUCAUGGAUAUACCCAUUGACGGCAACUCAGCAUAUUACCAAACAGAGUUAAAAGUCCAUAAACUCUGCCACAGAUUUCCAUUCUUGGUAGAAGUCUAUUACGCCAUGAAGACAACGUCCAAGAUCUUUCUCGCACUUGACUAUUAUCCU